Long non-coding RNA from Culex quinquefasciatus (southern house mosquito), 1041 nucleotides. RefSeq lists it as uncharacterized. The record is from RefSeq and is a predicted model, not a curated record. NCBI's taxonomy places the organism in Eukaryota, Metazoa, Arthropoda, Insecta, Diptera, Culicidae. The transcript is spliced from 3 exons.
AGCUUCUGCCGGCGCUCAUGGAAGAUUAUCUCGUUGCGGUAAAGUUGUGUUACGUUUGUUUUUUGUAUGGUCUGUUUUGUGAUGAUAUUUGUAAACGAAACCAGUUAGUUUUUCUUAAUUUUAAUGUGUAAGCACGAUAGCAGAAUAGAUAGAUUAUUUCUUUCUGUGCGCGCCGACAUAAAUACGCCACCUGGGACUUAUUACAUCAAAGUUUUCUUGCAAGCAGAAGGCGGAAACGAAAUCCCCAAUCGCCUGCACCAACACACUUAAUUCAUCGUGAGGCAGAGAACGCGGAACGACAACCAAGCGCGCAAGUGGCUUCAUUUUGUGCGAGAUUACGUUCCGGCAAAGUUGGGUUUUGCACGCUAGUUUCAACUUAGAAGUGAAAUUGAAACGGUCCGCGUCUUCUGCAGCGCUGGAAGGAUUGUGUUUGGUUAAUUCCUCCUAUUUUGGCCAGAACAAGCAUCGUUCCGCAGAGAAGCAACAGGAACUGUCCGCAGAGAAGCCGCAGGAUCAGCAAGCUUUCCGAGACGAUUAUCACGGCAAGACGGCGCAGACGGCGAGGAUUAAUCAGCUCAAGUGUAGCCAAGCCGAGGUAAAACUACCUUGACCUUGAUUUGCUUCUAUUAACUAAGGUCGAUUUCUACAUAUCUAGAUCGCCUGGCCGGACGGAGCAGAGCACCCCACAAGACUCCCAAUCGCUGGCACUGAUACACAGGACGUUCACCCUCUUUAGAGGCCGUAUCAGGUACGUUCCAUCAACUGCUGGAAGAAAACAAGUUGAAACUAAUGGAAUCAUAUCUACAAUAGCUAGCCACAAGCGUUAACGACCGAGUGGGCCACGAGCGGUCACGACCGAGUGUAGAACGCCGAACCAACCCACGGAAGUCGUGCACACAUUGGACAACAGAAAACCCUCUCAGAGGGUUUUCUUUGGGAGUGCUAAGCUGUUCUUCCGUCGCUUGCUGGCGUGACGCACAGCUGUCCAUGAGUGAACUUCAAUACGUCCUGCCGAAGACCGGCGGUGUACGGCUACAAGUG